GGGUUGUGAGGUUAAGCGACUAAGCGUACACGGUGGAUGCCCUGGCAGUCAGAGGCGAUGAAGGACGUGCUAAUCUGCGAUAAGCGUCGGUAAGGUGAUAUGAACCGUUAUAACCGGCGAUUUCCGAAUGGGGAAACCCAGUGUGAUUCGUCACACUAUCAUUAACUGAAUCCAUAGGUUAAUGAGGCGAACCGGGGGAACUGAAACAUCUAAGUACCCCGAGGAAAAGAAAUCAACCGAGAUUCCCCCAGUAGCGGCGAGCGAACGGGGAGGAGCCCAGAGUCUGAAUCAGUGUGUGUGUUAGUGGAAGCGUCUGGAAAGGCGUGCGAUACAGGGUGACAGCCCCGUACACAAAAAUGCACAUACUGUGAGCUCGAUGAGUAGGGCGGGACACGUGGUAUCCUGUCUGAAUAUGGGGGGACCAUCCUCCAAGGCUAAAUACUCCUGACUGACCGAUAGUGAACCAGUACCGUGAGGGAAAGGCGAAAAGAACCCCGGCGAGGGGAGUGAAAAAGAACCUGAAACCGUGUACGUACAAGCAGUGGGAGCACGCUUAGGCGUGUGACUGCGUACCUUUUGUAUAAUGGGUCAGCGACUUAUAUUCUGUAGCAAGGUUAACCGAAUAGGGGAGCCGAAGGGAAACCGAGUCUUAACUGGGCGUUAAGUUGCAGGGUAUAGACCCGAAACCCGGUGAUCUAGCCAUGGGCAGGUUGAAGGUUGGGUAACACUAACUGGAGGACCGAACCGACUAAUGUUGAAAAAUUAGCGGAUGACUUGUGGCUGGGGGUGAAAGGCCAAUCAAACCGGGAGAUAGCUGGUUCUCCCCGAAAGCUAUUUAGGUAGCGCCUCGUGAAUUCAUCUCCGGGGGUAGAGCACUGUUUCGGCAAGGGGGUCAUCCCGACUUACCAACCCGAUGCAAACUGCGAAUACCGGAGAAUGUUAUCACGGGAGACACACGGCGGGUGCUAACGUCCGUCGUGAAGAGGGAAACAACCCAGACCGCCAGCUAAGGUCCCAAAGUCAUGGUUAAGUGGGAAACGAUGUGGGAAGGCCCAGACAGCCAGGAUGUUGGCUUAGAAGCAGCCAUCAUUUAAAGAAAGCGUAAUAGCUCACUGGUCGAGUCGGCCUGCGCGGAAGAUGUAACGGGGCUAAACCAUGCACCGAAGCUGCGGCAGCGACGCUUAUGCGUUGUUGGGUAGGGGAGCGUUCUGUAAGCCUGUGAAGGUGUGCUGUGAGGCAUGCUGGAGGUAUCAGAAGUGCGAAUGCUGACAUAAGUAACGAUAAAGCGGGUGAAAAGCCCGCUCGCCGGAAGACCAAGGGUUCCUGUCCAACGUUAAUCGGGGCAGGGUGAGUCGACCCCUAAGGCGAGGCCGAAAGGCGUAGUCGAUGGGAAACAGGUUAAUAUUCCUGUACUUGGUGUUACUGCGAAGGGGGGACGGAGAAGGCUAUGUUGGCCGGGCGACGGUUGUCCCGGUUUAAGCGUGUAGGCUGGUUUUCCAGGCAAAUCCGGAAAAUCAAGGCUGAGGCGUGAUGACGAGGCACUACGGUGCUGAAGCAACAAAUGCCCUGCUUCCAGGAAAAGCCUCUAAGCAUCAGGUAACAUCAAAUCGUACCCCAAACCGACACAGGUGGUCAGGUAGAGAAUACCAAGGCGCUUGAGAGAACUCGGGUGAAGGAACUAGGCAAAAUGGUGCCGUAACUUCGGGAGAAGGCACGCUGAUAUGUAGGUGAAGUCCCUUGCGGAUGGAGCUGAAAUCAGUCGAAGAUACCAGCUGGCUGCAACUGUUUAUUAAAAACACAGCACUGUGCAAACACGAAAGUGGACGUAUACGGUGUGACGCCUGCCCGGUGCCGGAAGGUUAAUUGAUGGGGUCAGCGCAAGCGAAGCUCUUGAUCGAAGCCCCGGUAAACGGCGGCCGUAACUAUAACGGUCCUAAGGUAGCGAAAUUCCUUGUCGGGUAAGUUCCGACCUGCACGAAUGGCGUAAUGAUGGCCAGGCUGUCUCCACCCGAGACUCAGUGAAAUUGAACUCGCUGUGAAGAUGCAGUGUACCCGCGGCAAGACGGAAAGACCCCGUGAACCUUUACUAUAGCUUGACACUGAACAUUGAGCCUUGAUGUGUAGGAUAGGUGGGAGGCUUUGAAGUGUGGACGCCAGUCUGCAUGGAGCCGACCUUGAAAUACCACCCUUUAAUGUUUGAUGUUCUAACGUGGACCCGUGAUCCGGGUUGCGGACAGUGUCUGGUGGGUAGUUUGACUGGGGCGGUCUCCUCCUAAAGAGUAACGGAGGAGCACGAAGGUUGGCUAAUCCUGGUCGGACAUCAGGAGGUUAGUGCAAUGGCAUAAGCCAGCUUGACUGCGAGCGUGACGGCGCGAGCAGGUGCGAAAGCAGGUCAUAGUGAUCCGGUGGUUCUGAAUGGAAGGGCCAUCGCUCAACGGAUAAAAGGUACUCCGGGGAUAACAGGCUGAUACCGCCCAAGAGUUCAUAUCGACGGCGGUGUUUGGCACCUCGAUGUCGGCUCAUCACAUCCUGGGGCUGAAGUAGGUCCCAAGGGUAUGGCUGUUCGCCAUUUAAAGUGGUACGCGAGCUGGGUUUAGAACGUCGUGAGACAGUUCGGUCCCUAUCUGCCGUGGGCGCUGGAGAACUGAGGGGGGCUGCUCCUAGUACGAGAGGACCGGAGUGGACGCAUCACUGGUGUUCGGGUUGUCAUGCCAAUGGCACUGCCCGGUAGCUAAAUGCGGAAGAGAUAAGUGCUGAAAGCAUCUAAGCACGAAACUUGCCCCGAGAUGAGUUCUCCCUGACUCCUUGAGAGUCCUGAAGGAACGUUGAAGACGACGACGUUGAUAGGCCGGGUGUGUAAGCGCAGCGAUGCGUUGAGCUAACCGGUACUAAUGAACCGUGAGGCUUAACCUUACAACGCCGAAGCUGUU
RNAcentral lists this ribosomal RNA (2930 nucleotides) under Escherichia coli. Its description in RNAcentral is "bacterial LSU rRNA". It matches the Rfam family "Bacterial large subunit ribosomal RNA". The record is from RNAcentral. Lineage: Bacteria; Pseudomonadati; Pseudomonadota; Gammaproteobacteria; Enterobacterales; Enterobacteriaceae.